Molecule: ribosomal RNA, 302 nt
Filed under: uncultured bacterium
Lineage: Bacteria
Description: partial 16S ribosomal RNA
Rfam family: Bacterial small subunit ribosomal RNA
Source: RNAcentral
GCAGCCGCCGCGGGAAUACGAAGGGUGCAAGCGUUAAUCGGAAUUACUGGGCGUAAAGCGUGCGUAGGCGGUGAGUUAAGUCUGCUGUGAAAUCCCCGGGCUCAACCUGGGAAUGGCAGUGGAUACUGGCUCGCUAGAGUGUGUCAGAGGAUGGUGGAAUUCCCGGUGUAGCGGUGAAAUGCGUAGAGAUCGGGAGGAACAUCAGUGGCGAAGGCGGCCAUCUGGGACAACACUGACGCUGAGGCACGAAAGCGUGGGGAGCAAACAGGAUUAGAUACCCCCGUAGUCCCUGUCUCUUAUAC